Molecule: long non-coding RNA, 421 nt
Filed under: Ananas comosus (pineapple)
Lineage: Eukaryota; Viridiplantae; Streptophyta; Magnoliopsida; Poales; Bromeliaceae
Description: long non-coding RNA (ACOM_LNC015773)
Source: RNAcentral
UUUUAAUAUUAUAUGCUUUGAAACAUGGGAAAGAGAAUAACCUGUUUUAGGUUUGAUUUUUGGGUUUCUGUCUUUUAGUUGGAUUAUGGCUUUAAUAUGAAUUUUUAAAAUUCAUCGGAUUCGGAUUCAUAUUCGAAUUUGAUUGUCGGAUUUGGACUCGGAUUCGGAUUUUUGAAAAUCCUGUCCCAAACCCAAUUCAUCAACAUCCUUAGUUAUGAUGUAAAAUGCAACGUGAUAGUAUAAAAAGGUAAAUGUAGAACGAAAGUAUAAAGAGAUAUGAUCCUUCGUUUUUUAGUGAUAUUGUAAAAAAAAUAUAUCAUAAUCGGUUUAUUAUAAUAUAUGAAAUAUGAUAUUAUAUAUGAAAAUAAAUUUUUUAUUUUUUUACACAACGCAAUCUUUCGAAAAUUCUAAAUAAAGUCUU